AUUGAACGCUGGCCCCAAGAUUAACACAUGCAAGUCGAACGGUAACAUAAAGAAGCUUGCUUCUUUGAUGACGAGUGGCGGACGGGUGAGUAAUGCUUGGGAAUCUAGCUUAUGGAGGGGGAUAACUACGGGAAACUGUAGCUAAUACCGCGUAAUAUCGAAAGAUUAAAGUGUGGGACCUUCGGGCCACAUGCCAUAGGAUGAGCCCAAGUGGGAUUAGGUAGUUGGUGAGGUAAAGGCUCACCAAGCCGACGAUCUCUAGCUGGUCUGAGAGGAUGACCAGCCACACUGGGACUGAGACACGGCCCACACUCCUACGGGAGGCAGCAGUGGGGAAUAUUGCGCAAUGGGGGCAACCCUGACGCAGCCAUGCCGCGUGAAUGAAGAAGGCCUUCUGGUUGUAGAGUUCUUUCGGUAGCGAGGAAGGCAUUUAGUUUAAUAAACUACGUGAUUGACGUUCACUACAGAAGAAGCACCGGCUAACUCCGUGCCAGCAGCCGCGGUAAUACGGAGGGUGCGAGCGUUAAUCGGAAUAACUGGGCGUAAAGGGCACGCAGCGGUGACUUAAGUGAGGUGUGAAAGCCCCGGGCUUAACCUGGGAAUUGCAUUUCAUACUGGGUCGCUAGAGUACUUUAGGGAGGGGUAGAAUUCCACGUGUAGCGGUGAAAUGCGUAGAGAUGUGGAGGAAUACCGAAGGCGAAGGCAGCCCCUUGGGAAUGUACUGACGCUCAUGUGCGAAAGCGUGGGGAGCAAACAGGAUUAGAUACCCUGGUAGUCCACGCUGUAAACGAUGUCGAUUUGGGGGUUGAGCUUUAAGCUUGGCGCCCGUAGCUAACGUGAUAAAUCGACCGCCUGGGGAGUACGGCCGCAAGGUUAAAACUCAAAUGAAUUGACGGGGGCCCGCACAAGCGGUGGAGCAUGUGGUUUAAUUCGAUGCAACGCGAAGAACCUUACCUACUCUUGACAUCCAGAGAACAUUCCAGAGAUGGAUUGGUGCCUUCCGGAACUCUGAAACAGGUGCUGCAUGGCUGUCGUCAGCUCGUGUUGCGAAAUGUUGGGUUAAGUCCCGCAACGAGUGCAACCCCUUAUCCCUUUGUUGACCAGCGAUAGGUCGGGAACUCCAAGGAAACUGCCGGUGAUAAACCGGAGGAACGUGGGGAUGACGUCCAGUCCAUCAUGGCCCUUUACGAGUAGGGUUACACACGUGGCUACAUGGCGUAUUCAGAGGGAAAACGAGAGUGCCCACUGGAGCUGACCUCACAAAAUACGUCUAAACUCCGGAUGGGAGUUUGCGUCUCGCCUUCCUGGAGU
Molecule: ribosomal RNA, 1311 nt
Filed under: uncultured bacterium
Lineage: Bacteria
Description: bacterial SSU rRNA
Rfam family: Bacterial small subunit ribosomal RNA
Source: RNAcentral